AGCUGGUAUGGUGUAGUGGUUUGAGUGUUGGACUUCCACUCUGAAGACCAGUGUUUGAUACCCUGCACAGCUA
This is a non-coding RNA of Phrynosoma platyrhinos (Desert horned lizard), 73 nucleotides long. The record is from the annotation of a GenBank genome assembly. Lineage: Eukaryota; Metazoa; Chordata; Lepidosauria; Squamata; Phrynosomatidae.